AACAGGAUUAGAUACCCUGGUAGUCCACGCUGUAAACGAUGUCGACUUGGAGGUUGUGCCCUUGAGGCGUGGCUUCCGGAGCUAACGCGUUAAGUCGACCGCCUGGGGAGUACGGCCGCAAGGUUAAAACUCAAAUGAAUUGACGGGGGCCCGCACAUGCGGUGGAGCAUGUGGUUUAAUUCGAUGCAACGCGAAGAACCUUACCUACUCUUGACAUCCAGAGAAUUUGCUAGAGAUAGCUUAGUGCCUUCGGGAACUCUGAGACAGGUGCUGCAUGGCUGUCGUCAGCUCGUGUUGUGAAAUGUUGGGUUAAGUCCCGCAACGAGCGCAACCCUUAUCCUUUGUUGCCAGCACGUAAUGGUGGGAACUCAAAGGAGACUGCCGGUGAUAAACCGGAGGAAGGUGGGGAUGACGUCAAGUCAUCAUGGCCCUUACGAGUGGGGCUACACACGUGCUACAAUGGCAUAUACAAAGAGAAGCGAACUCGCGAGAGCAAGCGGACCUCAUAAAGUAUGUCGUAGUCCGGAUUGGAGUCUGCAACUCGACUCCAUGAAGUCGGGAUCGCUAGUAAUCGUAGAUCAGAAUGCUACGGUGAAUACGUUCCCGGGCCUUGUACACACCGCCCGUCACACCAUGGGAGUGGGUUGCAAAAGAAGUAGGUAGCUUAACCUUCGGGAGGGCGCUUACCACUUUGUGAUUCAUGACUGGGGUGAAGUCGUAACAAGGUAACC
RNAcentral lists this ribosomal RNA (731 nucleotides) under uncultured bacterium. Its description in RNAcentral is "bacterial SSU rRNA". It matches the Rfam family "Bacterial small subunit ribosomal RNA", at positions 771 to 1501 of the family's 1533-position model. The record is from RNAcentral.